GACGUAGGGGACGAGCGUUGUCCGGAUUCAUUGGGCGUAAAGCGCGCGUAGGCGGCCACGCAAGUCGGGUGUGAAAUCCCGGAGCUCAACUCCGGAACUGCACUCGAAACUGCGCGGCUUGAGGUAGGUAGGGGAGAUCGGAAUUCCUGGUGUAGCGGUGGAAUGCGCAGAUAUCAGGAGGAACACCGGUGGCGAAGGCGGGUCUCUGGGCCGAUACUGACGCUGAGGAGCGAAAGCGUGGGGAGCGAACAGG
This 253-nucleotide ribosomal RNA is filed under the name uncultured bacterium. RNAcentral describes it as "partial 16S ribosomal RNA". It matches the Rfam family "Bacterial small subunit ribosomal RNA", at positions 524 to 776 of the family's 1533-position model. The record is from RNAcentral.